This 108-nucleotide transfer RNA is filed under the name Pseudozyma flocculosa. It matches the Rfam family "tRNA". From Rfam's summary of the family: Transfer RNA (tRNA) molecules are approximately 80 nucleotides in length. Their secondary structure includes four short double-helical elements and three loops (D, anti-codon, and T loops). Lineage: Eukaryota; Fungi; Basidiomycota; Ustilaginomycetes; Ustilaginales; Ustilaginaceae. RNAcentral also lists the same sequence under 1 other name. The record is from Rfam by way of RNAcentral.
GUCUGCGUGGCGCAGUUGGCCAGCGCGUAGGUCUCAUACAACUUCCCGUAUGAUCUUGAGUAUUCAAGUGCGAUCCUGAGGUCGAGAGUUCGAGCCUCUCCGCGGACA